This 468-nucleotide ribosomal RNA is filed under the name uncultured bacterium. RNAcentral's name for it is "partial 16S ribosomal RNA". It matches the Rfam family "Bacterial small subunit ribosomal RNA", at positions 28 to 507 of the family's 1533-position model. The record is from RNAcentral.
GACGAACGCUGGCGGCGUGCUUAACACAUGCAAGUCGAACGGACAGGCCCUGCUUUUGUGGGGUGCUCGAGUGGCGAACGGGUGAGUAACACGCGAGUAACCUGCCCUUGACUUUGGGAUAACAUCAGGAAAAUGGGGAUAAUACCGGAUAGGAGCUCCUGCUGCACGGUGGGGGUUGGAAAGUUUCGGCGGUUGGGGAUGGACUAGCGGCUUAUCAGCUUGUUGGUGGGGUAGUGGCUUACCAAGGCUUUGACGGGUAGCCGGCCUGGGAGGGUGACCGGCCACAUUGGGACUGAGAGACGGCCCAGACUCCUACGGGAGGCAGCAGUGGGGAAUAUUGCACAAUGGGCGGGAGCCUGAUGCAGCAACGCCGCGUGCGGGAUGACGGCCUUCGGGUUGUAAACCGCUUUCGCCGGUGACGAAGCGUGAGUGACGGUAAUGGGUAAAGAAGCACCGGCUAACUACGUG